This 467-nucleotide ribosomal RNA is filed under the name uncultured bacterium. Its description in RNAcentral is "partial 16S ribosomal RNA". It matches the Rfam family "Bacterial small subunit ribosomal RNA", at positions 28 to 507 of the family's 1533-position model. The record is from RNAcentral.
GACGAACGCUGGCGGCGUGCUUAACACAUGCCAGUCGAACGAUGACGACCGAUCUUGCUCGGUCUGAUUAGUGGCGAACGGGUGAGUAACCCGUGAGCAACCUGCCCUUCACUCUGGGAUAACCUCGGGAAAUCGGGGCUAAUACCGGAUAUGAGCUCCUGUCGCAUGGCGGGUGUUGGAAAGUUUUUCGUUGAAGGAUGGGCUCGCGGCCUAUCAGUUUGUUGGUUGGGUAGUGGCUCGCCAAGGCGAUGACGGGUAGCCGGCCUGAGAGGGCGACCGGCGACAAGGGGACUGAGACACGGCGCAGACUCCUACGGGAGGCAGCAGUGGGGAGUAUUGCACAAUGGGCGAAAGCGUGAUGCAGCGACGCCGCGUUAGGGAUGACGGCCUUCGGGCUGUAAACCGCUUUCAGCAGGGAAGAAGCGAAAGUGACGGUACCUGCAGAAGAAGCGCCGGCUAACUACGUG